UCUCCAUUUCCCGUGCUCUCUCGGCAGUCAGAGUGAGCGAGAGAGCGUGCGAAAUGGAGAGA
Molecule: microRNA precursor, 62 nt
Filed under: Pristionchus pacificus
Lineage: Eukaryota; Metazoa; Nematoda; Chromadorea; Rhabditida; Neodiplogasteridae
Description: mir-8364 microRNA precursor family
Rfam family: mir-8364 microRNA precursor family
Source: Rfam by way of RNAcentral